UGGGGAAUAUUGCACAAUGGGCGCAAGCCUGAUGCAGCCGUGCCGCGUGUGUGAAGAAGGGCCUUCGGGUUGUAAAGCACUUUCAGCGAGGAGGAAGGUGGUGAGCUUAAUACGCUCAUCAAUUGACGUUACUCGCAGAAGAAGCACCGGCUAACUCCGUGCCAGCAGCCGCGGUAAUACGGAGGGUGCAAGCGUUAAUCGGAAUUACUGGGCGUAAAGCGCACGCAGGCGGUUUGUUAGGUCAGAUGUGAAAUCCCCGGGCUCAACCUGGGAACUGCAUUUGAAACUGGCAAGCUAGAGUCUCGUAGAGGGGGGUAGAAUUCCAGGUGUAGCGGUGAAAUGCGUAGAGAUCUGGAGGAAUACCGGUGGCGAAGGCGGCCCCCCUGGANGAAGACUGACGCUCAGGUGCGAAAGGCGUGGGGCAGCAAACAGGAUUAGAUACCCUGGUAGUCCACGCUGUAAACGAUGUCGAUUUUGGAGGUUGUGCCCC
This 490-nucleotide ribosomal RNA is filed under the name uncultured bacterium. Its description in RNAcentral is "partial 16S ribosomal RNA". It matches the Rfam family "Bacterial small subunit ribosomal RNA", at positions 355 to 833 of the family's 1533-position model. The record is from RNAcentral.